Molecule: ribosomal RNA, 364 nt
Filed under: uncultured Helicobacter sp.
Lineage: Bacteria; Pseudomonadati; Campylobacterota; Epsilonproteobacteria; Campylobacterales; Helicobacteraceae
Description: bacterial SSU rRNA
Rfam family: Bacterial small subunit ribosomal RNA
Source: RNAcentral
UAUCCGGCCUGAGAGGGUGAGCGGACACACUGGAACUGAGACACGGUCCAGACUCCUACGGGAGGCAGCAGUAGGGAAUAUUGCUCAAUGGGGGAAACCCUGAAGCAGCAACGCCGCGUGGAGGAUGAAGGUUUUAGGAUCGUAAACUCCUUUUGUUAGAGAAGAUAAUGACGGUAUCUAACGAAUAAGCACCGGCUAACUCCGUGCCAGCAGCCGCGGUAAUACGGAGGGUGCAAGCGUUACUCGGAAUCACUGGGCGUAAAGAGUGCGUAGGCGGGAGGACAAGUCAGGUGUGAAAUCCUAUGGCUUAACCAUAGAACUGCAUUUGAAACUAUCCUUCUGGAGUGUGGGAGAGGUAGGUGGA